GCUUCAGUAGCUCAGUUGGUUAUAGAGCACCUCUGACUGUUAAUCAGGGGGUCGUUGGUUCAAGCCCAUCCUGAAGCG
This 78-nucleotide transfer RNA is filed under the name Alloprevotella sp. oral taxon 473 str. F0040. RNAcentral's name for it is "Prevotella sp. oral taxon 473 str. F0040 tRNA". It matches the Rfam family "tRNA". Rfam says of the family: Transfer RNA (tRNA) molecules are approximately 80 nucleotides in length. Lineage: Bacteria; Pseudomonadati; Bacteroidota; Bacteroidia; Bacteroidales; Prevotellaceae. The record is from Rfam by way of RNAcentral.